RNAcentral lists this ribosomal RNA (305 nucleotides) under uncultured bacterium. RNAcentral describes it as "bacterial SSU rRNA". It matches the Rfam family "Bacterial small subunit ribosomal RNA", at positions 333 to 635 of the family's 1533-position model. The record is from RNAcentral.
AGGAUCCUACGGGACGCAGCAGUGAGGAAUAUUGGUCAAUGGGCGGAAGCCUGAACCAGCCAAGUCGCUUGAGGGAAGAAGGCCCUGCGGGUCGCAGACCUCUUUGGACGGGGAGCAAGGCCGCCGACGUGUCGGCGGAAGGAGAGUACCCGUGGAACAAGCAUCGGCUAACUCCGUGCCAGCAGCCGCGGUAAUACGGAGGAUGCGAGCGUUAUCCGGAUUUAUUGGGUUUAAAGGGUGCGCAGUCGGCACGGCAAGCCGGCGGUCAAAUCGCGGGGUUCAACCCCGCCCAGCCGUCGGACCCG